This is a long non-coding RNA of Homo sapiens (human), 706 nucleotides long. Ensembl annotates it as long intergenic non-protein coding RNA 2156. The record is from Ensembl. NCBI's taxonomy places the organism in Eukaryota, Metazoa, Chordata, Mammalia, Primates, Hominidae.
GGACAUGGCUGUCAGCUGGGAAGAGUGAAAUGGGCAAAGACUGCGUCACGGCUGGAAGGGAUCGUGGCAAGGGCACAGGCAGCAGGAAAGCUGACGGAGUCUCGCCCUGUCGCCCAGGCUGGAGUGCAGUGGCGCCAUCUCGGCUCACUGCAAGCUCCGCCUCCCAGGUUCAUGCCGUUCUCCUGCCUCAGCCUCCCGAGUAGCUGGGACUACAGGAAGUGAAACCCACAGGUUCUGUGGCUCUGCAGUGCCCUCUCUAGGAUGCUUUUGUGGAUGUGCAGUGGCUCAAGGUGCAGCAGGUGAUUCUGUAGAAAGGAGUUUCUCCAAUAAAGCAGAGCUUCUCUUUCAACUCCAUGGACAUCAGAGAGAGUCCCUUUCAAAAAAGGAGGCUCAGGUCUGGAGAGACAAAGGCCUCUACUUUCGAAAAGGCCUCUUGGAUCAAGCCCAGACCCUCAUCAGAGCUGACAACAUGUCCAGCCUGCACUACUGCAAGAACUUCUUUGUCUAUGGUAGUGUGGUCAACUGAAGAAGCCGGCUUAGUUGCUCCAGUCAGGUGCUCACACUAAGAAAGGAUGGGUGAAGGUUAUAAAGUGGCUGUGAAUGAGAACUCGGUCUGGGCUCUACCAAGCAGAGAAGCCAUGCAGAGAUGAGAAAGGUGAAAGCCAUGAAACCAUGUUAAGCAGAAAAAUAAAAAUUCAAAACAGAA